AUUGAACGCUGGCGGCAUGCCUUACACAUGCAAGUCGAACGGCAGCGGACCUUCGGGUGCCGGCGAGUGGCGAACGGGUGGGUAAUAUAUCGGAACGUACCUUUCAGUGGGGGAUAACGUAGCGAAAGUUACGCUAAUACCGCAUAUUCUGUGAGCAGGAAAGCAGGGGAUCGCAAGACCUUGCGCUGAUUGAGCGGCCGAUAUCAGAUUAGCUAGUUGGUGAGGUAAAGGCUCACCAAGGCGACGAUCUGUAGCGGGUCUGAGAGGAUGAUCCGCCACACUGGAACUGAGACACGGUCCAGACUCCUACGGGAGGCAGCAGUGGGGAAUUUUGGACAAUGGGCGCAAGCCUGAUCCAGCCAUGCCGCGUGAGUGAAGAAGGCCU
RNAcentral lists this ribosomal RNA (385 nucleotides) under uncultured bacterium. RNAcentral's name for it is "bacterial SSU rRNA". It matches the Rfam family "Bacterial small subunit ribosomal RNA", at positions 30 to 417 of the family's 1533-position model. The record is from RNAcentral.